This 105-nucleotide non-coding RNA is filed under the name Clostridium paraputrificum. Its description in RNAcentral is "TPP sequence". It matches the Rfam family "TPP riboswitch aptamer (THI element)". Rfam says of the family: Vitamin B(1) in its active form thiamin pyrophosphate (TPP) is an essential coenzyme that is synthesised by coupling of pyrimidine and thiazole moieties in bacteria. Lineage: Bacteria; Bacillati; Bacillota; Clostridia; Eubacteriales; Clostridiaceae. The record is from Rfam by way of RNAcentral.
AAGAUUUAUCUGGGGAGGCUUAAGAGAUAGCCUGAGAGGAAUAAGUUAUUCGACCCAUGACCUGAUUUGGAUAAUGCCAACGUAGGAAGAUAAAAUAUGUAUAAU